UCCAUCGUGGUGCAAUGGUAGCGCGCCAGACCACAUAUGCUGUCACGUCGCAUGACUUACGAGCAUGCCACCCGAGACGCGCGGGAAGCGCCUGUACCAGGAAACUGGAGCGGCCUUCGCUGGUGCUCCAGGUGAGCUACGUGGCCAGGCUUGCCCAUCUGGAGACCCGAGUUCGACUCUCGGCGAUGGAA
Molecule: non-coding RNA, 191 nt
Organism: Phyllosticta capitalensis
Lineage: Eukaryota; Fungi; Ascomycota; Dothideomycetes; Botryosphaeriales; Phyllostictaceae
Source: the annotation of a GenBank genome assembly